GCUAGGAUGAACGCUAGCGACAGGCUUAACACAUGCAAGUCGAGGGGCAGCAUAAAAGUAGCAAUACUUGGUGGCGACCGGCGCACGGGUGAGUAACGCGUAUGCAACCUACCUAUCAGAGGGGAAUAACCCGGCGAAAGUCGGACUAAUACCGCAUAAAACAGGGGCACCGCAUGGUGAUAUUUGUUAAAGAAAUUCGCUGAUAGAUGGGCAUGCGUUCCAUUAGGUAGUUGGUGAGGUAACGGCUCACCAAGCCGACGAUGGAUAGGGGAACUGAGAGGUUGGUCCCCCACACUGGUACUGAGACACGGACCAGACUCCUACGGGAGGCAGCAGUGAGGAAUAUUGGUCAAUGGGCGAGAGCCUGAACCAGCCAAGUCGCCGUGAAGGAAGAAGGAUCUAUGGUUCGUAAACUUCUUUUGCAGGGGAAUAAAGUGCAGGACGUGUCCUGUUUUGUAUGUACCCUGAGAAUAAGGAUCGGCUAACUCCGUGCCAGCCGCCGC
This 503-nucleotide ribosomal RNA is filed under the name uncultured bacterium. Its description in RNAcentral is "bacterial SSU rRNA". It matches the Rfam family "Bacterial small subunit ribosomal RNA", at positions 26 to 518 of the family's 1533-position model. The record is from RNAcentral.